GCGGAUGUGGCGGAACUGGCAGACGCGCUAGAUUUAGGCUCUAGUGGGAGACCGUGCAGGUUCGACUCCUGUCAUCCGCACCA
Molecule: transfer RNA, 83 nt
Filed under: Clostridiales bacterium
Lineage: Bacteria; Bacillati; Bacillota; Clostridia; Eubacteriales
Description: tRNA-Leu
Rfam family: tRNA
About the family: Transfer RNA (tRNA) molecules are approximately 80 nucleotides in length. Their secondary structure includes four short double-helical elements and three loops (D, anti-codon, and T loops). Further hydrogen bonds mediate the characteristic L-shaped molecular structure. tRNAs have two regions of fundamental functional importance: the anti-codon, which is responsible for specific mRNA codon recognition, and the 3' end, to which the tRNAs corresponding amino acid is attached (by aminoacyl-tRNA synthetases). tRNAs cope with the degeneracy of the genetic code in two manners: having more than one tRNA (with a specific anti-codon) for a particular amino acid; and 'wobble' base-pairing, i.e. permitting non-standard base-pairing at the 3rd anti-codon position.
Source: RNAcentral